UGGGGAAUCUUGGACAAUGGGGGAAACCCUGAUCCAGCCAUGCCGCGUGAAGGACGAAGGUUUUCGGAUCGUAAACUUCUGAACGAGGGACGAAAAAUGACGGUACCUCGCUAAAAGCACCGGCUAACUCCGUGCCAGCAGCCGCGGUAAUACGGAGGGUGCAAGCGUUAUCCGGAAUCACUGGGCGUAAAGGGCACGUAGGCGGUCUUCUAAGUCCGAUGUUAAAGCGUGGGGCUCAACCCCAUCACGGCGUUGGAUACUGGUAGGCUUGACGACUGGAGAGGUGAGUAGAAUUACCAGUGUAGCGGUGGAAUGCGUAGAUACUGGUAGGAAUACCCAUUGCGAAGGCAGCUCACUGGACAGUACGUGACGCUGAGGUGCGAAAGUGUGGGGAGCAAACCGGAUUAGAUACCCGGGUAGUCC
Molecule: ribosomal RNA, 423 nt
Filed under: uncultured prokaryote
Description: bacterial SSU rRNA
Rfam family: Bacterial small subunit ribosomal RNA
Source: RNAcentral